RNAcentral lists this ribosomal RNA (251 nucleotides) under uncultured prokaryote. RNAcentral's name for it is "partial 16S rRNA". It matches the Rfam family "Bacterial small subunit ribosomal RNA", at positions 525 to 775 of the family's 1533-position model. The record is from RNAcentral.
ACGUAGGGGGCGAGCGUUAUUCGGAAUUACUGGGUGUAAAGGGUAUGUAGGCGGCCCUUCAAGUCGCGCGUCAAAGUCCAGUGCUCAACGCUGGGCGUGCGUUUGAUACUGACGGGCUUGAGGGUUGGUGAGGUGAGCGGAAUUCCCGGUGUAGCGGUAAAAUACUUAGAGAUGGGGCAGAACACCAGCGGUGCAGGCAGGUCACUAAAUUAUUUCUGACGCUCAGAUACGAAAGCGUGGGGAUCAAACAG